This 63-nucleotide small nucleolar RNA is filed under the name Dasypus novemcinctus (nine-banded armadillo). RNAcentral's name for it is "Small nucleolar RNA SNORD20 (ENSDNOG00000030220.1)". Lineage: Eukaryota; Metazoa; Chordata; Mammalia; Cingulata; Dasypodidae. The record is from RNAcentral.
UCAAAAAGUUUUUAAUGAAUGAAAUCACAAGAAAUUCCUCUAGAUAAUCAAGUUCUGAUUGAG